Long non-coding RNA from Hirundo rustica (Barn swallow), 1356 nucleotides. RefSeq lists it as uncharacterized. The record is from RefSeq and is a predicted model, not a curated record. The transcript is spliced from 3 exons. NCBI's taxonomy places the organism in Eukaryota, Metazoa, Chordata, Aves, Passeriformes, Hirundinidae.
CUUCUUGGCCUAGGGUUGUACUAGCUCAGGAAACUUUUAGCAGGGCUUUUUGGUACUCAUACCUGGGAGUUCUUUUUGUUUUGGUUUGGAUUUUUUUGGGGGGUGGGAGUCCUGUAGAUGGUUUGUUCUCUAGCUAUCAUGUGGAACAAAUAUAAACCUGUGUUCUAUUUGUGAAUCCCUGUGGACCCUUGAAUAUUUUCUCCUUGAAGUGAAUUUACUUCUCAGUGGCUGCACUUAUUCCAGCAGGAAACCAUGGAAAGCCUUUUGGUGCCUAAAAUGAGGAGUUUUCUGUUCCUGGUCUGGAGGCGCAGCUUCCUAUGUUCCAGACGAGCAGUAAUGCUAGCUUAAUGAGCCGUGGACUCAUUUCUUAUUCUUUUGGAGCUGUUCAGGUCACCCAUCCACCCCAAUGGCUCUCAGUGGAAGAAGAUUUAUGAAUCAUUGAGUUGCCUUAAGACUUUUGGGAAAGGACCCUGUAAAAAACCCAAAUAUGUCUGUGGAGGGAUGAGCAUUGUACCCAGGACAGUGGCGACCCUGCCUGCAAUGGCACAGCCACUGCCUGCGUUUUGGGUCUCGCACAGGGAUGCUCUCAGCACUGACUACAGCCUCCUCAUCACAAGUAUAACACUGGGCUUUCAGGUAAACCUCUUGAGGGGUGAACGGCUGCACGAAGCAUGGACUAAUGAAUAGUUUAAGUUGCUGAACACAGCUCGACAAACUGCAGCUCAGAGUUCAAGCUAAUGGGUUUUUUCCCCAAACCCCAGGCUGGUGGCUGCUUUUUUUGUCUUCUCUCUUCAGUUUUUGAAAUAUCCAUCAAUUCUCCUUUUUUUCUUGAGCUGCUGCAAAAGAGUCACAGCUGAGCUGUGGUUCAAGCUACAGGAAAAUAUCCUAUGCCAACCCCAGCCCCCAGUGCAAGCAGGUUUUGCACUCGUGAUGGGUUUAACGUCAAGCAGUGCCUUCAAGUGGGAUGUCAUCUGCAGGGACUGGAUCUUUGCACUGCCAUGAAUUGUUAGCCUCCUCUGCCACCCUCAUCUUUCUAGUUGAAGGCAGUUGCUUGCUGGCAUAGCCCUACCCUUGAAUUCAAGACAUAAACUUGUCUGUGUUGACACUCGAGACCACACUUUUAGUUUUCAACAGAAGGUGUCUGCAGUGUGAAGUCCUGCUCACCACCAAGGAUGUGCUUCAUAGUCCCAGCUAGUGGGGACCACAACUCCUCCCUUGAUGAGCUGCUCCAUGAACAGUGGAGUUGAGAUGUGCUGUGAGCAGCAGGAAAAAAAUGGUGUGUUAGUGCUGCACACUUGAAACUGAAGAAAGGAGACCUUUUUUUUACCCAUCCCUCUUAUUUUGAACAGACCUUCC